RNAcentral lists this long non-coding RNA (451 nucleotides) under Cyanistes caeruleus (blue tit). RNAcentral's name for it is "lncRNA (ENSCCEG00000000605.1)". Lineage: Eukaryota; Metazoa; Chordata; Aves; Passeriformes; Paridae. The record is from RNAcentral.
CACCCUGAACUCAUAAGAUAACUGCAUGAUAUCACAUUCAAAAAUCAGUCUUUCUUGUAAAAUGUCUUCACAGUGCAGGAUUCCUGUUCGGUAGCUAGAAGACCCACUUUAAAGAAGAUGAGGAUUUAAUUCCCCUUUCACUGGCAGAGGUUCAAACCCACCGUUCCCACCUCUCAAGGGACACCCUAAUCAAUGAGCAACCAUCUGUUCAGGGGCCCUUAUGUAACUCUUCAUGAAUUCCAAGUCUGCCGUUAAGGUGCUCCUAUGUAACUUAUCCAACCUCCCAGUUCCUGUAUGGACAUUCCAUAAGUCCUUGGUCAAAUCUACCCAGUCCUCUGCAGACAGGAAGUUUCUGGAAGCAGCAGAAGACACACUGCUCAUGCUCCUUCACAGAAUUGUUACCUGGCAGUAUAAGCAUUGUGGAAGUAUGAACUUAAAGAAGAAAAGUUGA